RNAcentral lists this non-coding RNA (891 nucleotides) under Limnonectes jarujini. RNAcentral's name for it is "partial 12S rRNA". It matches the Rfam family "Bacterial small subunit ribosomal RNA". Lineage: Eukaryota; Metazoa; Chordata; Amphibia; Anura; Dicroglossidae. The record is from RNAcentral.
CCCUAAACCUACACAUGCAAGUCUCAGCACUCCUGUGAGGACGCCCUCUUUUCUAACCCAGACUUAGGAGCCGGCAUCAGGCACUAAACUCGCCUACAACGCCUAGUUCAACCACGCCCCCAAGGGUUUUCAGCAGUGAUUAAUAUUGUAUAUAAGUGUUAACUUGAACCAGUUAUAGGGAAGAGAGCUGGCCAACUCGGUGCCAGCCGCCGCGGCUAAACCGCACGAGCUCAAGUUGAUAGCUUCCGGCGUUAAGCGUGAUUAAAGACUUACUUAAUUAGAGAAAAACCUAAACUUAGCUGUGAUAAGCUUGUUAUUGUGAAAAACAAGUACGAAAGUUGCUCUAAUAAACUUGAAUACACGACAGUCGGGAAACAAACUGGGAUUAGAUACCCCACUAUGCCCUACCGUAAAAUAUAUACUUACACCACCUACGCCAGGGUACUACGAGCUUUAGCUUAAAACCCAAAGGACUUGACGGUGUCCCAUCCAACUAGAGGAGCCUGUUCUAUAAUCGAUAACCCCCGAUAUACCUAACCUCACCUUGCUAAUCAGCCUGUAUACCUCCGUCGCAAACUUACCAUAUGAAUGUCAACAGUAAGUUUAAUGAUUUUAUCACCAACACGUCAGGUCAAGGUGCAGCUCAUGAUGAGGAAGAAAUGGGCUACAAUUUCUAAAUUAGAACUCACGGAAUGCUGCAUGAAAACACAGCCACAAAGGCGGAUUUAGUAGUAAAAAGUAAAUAAAGUGUCCUUUUUAAUAAGGCCCUGGGACGUGUACACACCGCCCGUCACCCUCUUCAACAGCACAUAUAUGUAUUUAACAAUUUCUGCACUUUAGAAGAGGCAAGUCGUAACAUGGUAAGUGUACUGGAAAGUGCACUUGGAUUAC